UACGAGUGGUGCAAGCGUUAUUCGGAAUUAUUGGGCGUAAAGGGUGCGUAGGCGGCGUAUUAAGUCAACUGUUAAAUUCAUCGGCCUAACUGAUGAUCCGCAGUAGAUACUAUUAUGCUAGAGGGUGGAAGAGAGAAGUGGAAUUCUUGGAGUAGCGGUAAAAUGCGUAGAUCUCAAGAGGAACACCGAUGGCGAAGGCAGCUUCUUGGUCCACACCUGACGCUGAGGCACGAAAGCGUGGGGAGCAAACAGG
This 253-nucleotide ribosomal RNA is filed under the name uncultured bacterium. RNAcentral describes it as "partial 16S ribosomal RNA". It matches the Rfam family "Bacterial small subunit ribosomal RNA", at positions 524 to 776 of the family's 1533-position model. The record is from RNAcentral.